This 1110-nucleotide small RNA is filed under the name Pongo abelii (Sumatran orangutan). RNAcentral's name for it is "retained intron". The record is from RNAcentral. Lineage: Eukaryota; Metazoa; Chordata; Mammalia; Primates; Hominidae.
UUAUAGUCAGGAAAAAUGUUGUUCCAAUUGACAGGAAAACUGAUUCAGCCUCUGCACAGUGAUUUCCUAGAGAUCAGAAUCCAGGGGGCAUUAAGAUUUUAAACCAGAGUAUGUAGUCAGGUAUAGACACUGGAGGAUUUCCACUGUGCUGAAUUCGAUGCUGCUGAAGAAGUGGCAUCCAGGAUGAGGGAUUUUGAAGGGAGGGGCGGAUGGAGUAGUAACUUAAACUAAUGAGGCUCAUACUUUUUCCCCCCCAGACUUCUGAACGAACAGUGAAUCUAUUACUGAGGAAAACCAGAGGAAGCCUGUGUAGAUAGGUAUCAAUUAGAUACCAACUACUGGAAGAGCUUUCUCAGAGACUGAUUAAAAAAUUCUCCACUAGAUAUGGCUGCAAAUUGCACAUCCUCAUGGCGUCUAGGAGAAUCCUGCAACAGACCUGGGUUGGAGCUGCCACGGUCUAUGGCAUCCUCAGAAACUCAACUUGGAAAUCACGACGUGGACCCUGAGAUUUCUCACGUGAACUUCAGGAUGUUCAGCUGCCCGAAGGAGUCGGACCCCAUCCAGGCUCUGAGGAAACUCACUGAGCUGUGCCAUCUGUGGCUGAGGCCCGACCUCCACACCAAAGAGCAGAUCCUGGACAUGCUGGUGAUGGAGCAGUUCAUGAUCUCCAUGCCCCAGGAGCUCCAGGUCUUAGUCAUGAUGAACGGUGUGCAGAGCUGCAAAGACCUGGAGGACCUGCUACGAAAUAACAGAAGACCCAAGAAAUGGGUGAGUGGGACCCUCGUGAUAGGUGCAGGGAAGGGGAGCUGGGAUGGGGGCUGCACGGUGCAGCUGGACUCAAGAGGACCCGAGGGGCUGCUCUAGGUCAGGACUUCCAAGUAGAGGAGAGUUUGCCCGUCAGGGACACAUGGCAGUGUCUGGGGACAGUUUUUGGUUGUCAUAAGGGGGGAGGACAGGAGAUGCUGCUAAGCAUUCUCCAAUGCUCAGGACAACCCACCAUGACAAAUAAUCAUCCAGAUUCAAUUAUCUGGAUGACGGCAAGUUCCUGGUGUAGGAGAUGGACAGGCAGAGGGGCUACAGGGACCCACACACUGUGUGAGGCCAACAUGA